Long non-coding RNA from Megalobrama amblycephala (Wuchang bream), 2778 nucleotides. RefSeq lists it as uncharacterized. Lineage: Eukaryota; Metazoa; Chordata; Actinopteri; Cypriniformes; Xenocyprididae. The transcript is spliced from 3 exons. The record is from RefSeq and is a predicted model, not a curated record.
UAAAAUUUUUGUUGAGUUUAAGUUUUUCAACUAAUAUUUAUAUUUUAUUUUAUUAUUUUUAACAGUUUUAGUUUUAGUUAAUGAUAAUAACCUUGAUCAUUAGAAAGUGCAUUUUUUAGUGUGUUAAGAAAAAUAGUGUGUUAAGUACAUUUAUGUGGCUAUUUAUUUAAUUAAAAUUGCAUUAUCUGCAAGUGUACAGUUUUUUUUUUAAAUAUACUUUUUAAAUUUGACACUUACACUACACUAAGUGCACAUUCAAAACAAUUAAGUGCUUUUUAACAAUGGUUGAUUUUCAUUGCAUGCAUGGACGAAAAAAAAUUAAAACUUCAUUUGUUCCGCAGAAGAAGGAAAGUCAUGAAGGGCUUUUCUUCGAGAUUCCUGUCUGUAGUGCUCCUCAAGAAAUUCCAGAAUCACCUCCAAAUCAGUUUGAUAUUCCUGCGCACUGUUCUGGGUUUAACUGUUCUGGAACAUCUGUGGUAAAGUGUGGAAUUGUUUCCUGUCUGCUGUGGAUGAUAAAAUGUAGGAGACUGUGCUUGAAGGGUAUGAAAACCUUUCCUCCACUGUGGCUCACAAGGUAAUUAAAUUUGCAAUUUAAUCUCCAGCAUUUUUCGCAUAGUGUUACCAUAGUGUCAAUGUGUGACUUCCCUGUUUGUCAUUUGAAAUUACAUUAUUUGUAAUGCAAUAAUUGAGCACUUAACAUUAAAAAAAAAGUAAAAUGUAAAUGAUCAAUGAAUUAAUGUGGUUAUAAUCUACAGCCCUUUAAUUAAACCAUGUUUUGGAUUCUUCUCUUGCUCUCUCUCUCUCUCUCUAAAUGUUUGUGUGAAUUUUUCCAUUGGUUUAUGAAUUUAUGUAUGCGUCUCACGCCUGCCAAAGUAUUUACAUUUUCUGGCAAAGCAGUAGCGAGGGCUUUAUCUUUUCAAACAAAGAGCUGCUUUCCUUCCCCUUCUCUUCAAACCCUAUUCAAAAGGACCAUUAAUACCAAACCCAAUGAGGGAAGGGCAGUAUAACCACAACAUAGCUCCUAUUCAACUUCUUUAUUUACUGGCACUCAAUCAAAAUAAGUUCCCAAAGUGUCUGCACAGGUAAACAGAUCACUCAGGCUGUCUGAUGAAGUUAACCCAUAACGUGGCUUACCGAUUCUGGGUAAGAAAACAAUACUGCUGUAAUUGUUCUUAUUAAGCCUGGCCUGUUUGCUUUGUAUAUAUAAUGGCAGACUUUUGUACUCUUCUUUUCCAAUAUAUAGUAUAAAAGUAGGCCCAAACCUUAGUCAUGCUUUUAUUUUCUUUGCUUGGUUUUAUUACAAAAACAAAUUAGUUGUAUUCCUUUUAACAUUAAGAAUGGAUAAAACAUUUGUUUGUUUAUUUUUAUUUGCUUAUUUUCUGUUUUUUUAUUAGAUUGUUUUGCAAAAUCAAAGAUGUCUUCUUUUCAACCUUAAGAACAGCUAAAACAUUUUUAAUUUAUUUUUGUUUGUUUCACAAAAGCAAAUAAGCUUGCUUAUUUAUUUAUUAAUUUAUUUAUUAAUUAAUUAAUUUAUUUAUUUAUUUCACCAUAUUGUUAAACAAAUUGAAUAUACUGCACUUUAAAAUGUUAGUUAACAUGAUAUUCUGAUAAGCUUUUUCCAUCAACUGCCACAUAAUUCCAUAAAUGGAACACACCCAUUUAUCUGACAAUAUUGUUUACCUCUUGGGUUGUCAUGACAAUAAUCUGGGUAUUUAAUUUCAUAUAGCCUGUCCUCCUGUGUCCCUUAAACUGAACAGCAUUGUGGGAUGUCAUAGUCAGCUAAGGGUACAUCUAUGUUGCCUAUAAAAACCAUUUGAUAAAUAUGCAUCUUGUAAGCAAACAUUGAGUUUGAUGCCAUCAUAUACUUGGCCUUAUUUUAACGAUCUAAGCGCAUGGCGCAGGUGCACUUAGGGUGUGUCCGAAUCCACUUUUGCUAGUUUAAGGACGGGAAAAAUGGUUGGCACGCCCGGCGCAUGGUCUAAAAUGGUUAUCCCUAUUCUCUUAAUGAGUAAUGGGUGUGUUUUUGGCAUAACGUCAACAAAUGAAUCAGAGUCUCAUUUCCCAUUCUCUUUAAAAGCCAGUUGCACUCGUGCUAUGGCAGAUUCGCUAUUUACAUGGCGGAAUUUGCAAAUGGAAAAACUGAACGCGUCUAUAGCGAGGAAACGGAUCUGCUCGUGCUCGAGGUUAAAGCGUGCGAGCAGACCAUCUAUGGGAAGAGCCGGAUUCCACCAAAGCAUUUUAUCUUUAUGCACACAAUAAUAAUUUUUUACAUUGUAAUCCUUUUAUUUUUAGUAUUUGCCAUGUAUAUGUACUGCUGCGCUUUCCUGCAUGUGUAAUAAGCAGAGUGUAUGUGCGUUGUGAACCCGCAAAUUACUAACACAAUCUUUAAAUAACAAAUUAAAUAUUGCGGCAUUGACGUAGACCAGGUUUCAGUUGGUCAAUGGCGCAGUCUAUUUCAGUUGCCUCAAAAUAUUAACGUGCCAACAAAGCGCCUGAACACACCUCGUUUUCAGACCAGCAUGCCCAUGGGCGCAAAUGCAUUUGCUAUUUAAACAACAUGGCUCAGGACGUGAAAAUGAUAACUGCGUCGGGCUGAAACUAGCAAAAAACACUUGCGUCGCGCCGAGUGUAUGAUAAGGCCCACUGUCUUUUUCAGAUUUUGGACACAUCAUUAACACUCUGGGGUCGGCGGUCACGCCGGCGUGAUCACCGCGUUUUUUUUCUAACCAGUGUGAAAGAGACUCAAAAUACUCUGUCAAUGUUGCACAUACAAUUAAG